UGGGGGCUCCUAUGGCAGUCGGAGCUGUGAGCGAGGACCGAGAUCGGAGCCUCUGAGACGGCUUCCCUCUCCUGUUGGCGCGCUCCGCAGGCGGGGCUUCUGGGGGGGCGGGGCCUAUUUCCUUAACCCCACCGCUCCCGGACCGAAGUCAACAAUAACAGACACUCUGGACCAGGCAGUACACUAAACUGGGGACCUGGAGAUCCCCUCACACCCGGACCCUCCUCUCGAGGCGCUCAAGAUCUGUGAGGGGAGGCGACACAGACAAGGCAGACAGUGUGAAAUAGCGAGAUACGAAAGUACGGAAGAGGAAGGGACUGAGGGACGAGGCCCUGCUUUGCGGAGGUGAUGGCACUGAUCUGGAUCAUGAGGAAUGAAAUAGGAAUUCGCCGAGAGAAACGGAUACCAGGCAGCGAGCGAGAAGAACAAACGCAGAGCUUUGUGGAUAUAAAAACUUCCAGUAGAUUCUGGCCUGAAAGGACUGGAGGCAGAACUGCCCUUGUCCGAAGCAAGGUUUUAGGCUCCAGUUAAUCGCAGAAAAUUUACGACCUUGAGAGUAAAGGAAUGCAGCUGAUUUCAUCGAGCAAACCCCUGGCCCAGAGGGAAAAAAAAGGCUUUCCUGAGACUGCACGAGAGGGGAUGGCUGAGCCGGCCAGCAGUAUCCUGACUCGGGGCUGCACCUAUCACUCCAUGUGGGCGGCUCUGGAAGAGCGGCGGCAUUUCUUGCUGGUACACUCACUUGAGUCCUCAGCUUGCAGGAACUGUGAUAAAACUGUCUCCAGCGAGACCCCAGUCCAGAGCUCUGCAAACAGGCUGCUGUGAAGUAUGAAAGGAGUGAUUCAGUGGAGCCCUGCAGGUCGUAGAGGUGACAGGCCCUGCUUAGUCUGGCUCCUGCCCACAUCUCUGACUUUACCUCUUCUACUGUUGGAUGAAACCUUAUUCACAACACUGAAAUAACUGCUAAGACUUCCCCGGUGGAUCAGUGGUAAAGAAUCUGCCUGCCAAUGCAGAAGACAGGGAUUCUAUCCCUGGUCCGGGAAGAUCCCACAAACUGAGGGGCAGCUCGGCCUGUGCACCAUAACUACAGCCUGUACUCCAGAGCCUGGGAGCCGCAACUACUGAAGCCCUAGAGCUUGUGCUUGGCAACAAGAGAAGCCACUGCAAUUAGAGUAGUCCCCACUCACUGCAAGUAGAGAAAAACCUGCGCAGCAACAAAAACUCAGUAGAGCCAAAAAUAAAUCAAUUUUUCUAAAAAAAGAAAAAUAAAUCACAGGCAAACUCCCACUGUGGAACCUUUGCCCUGGCUGUCCCCUGUUUCUGGUGCUCUUCUUCCUAAACUUUUAUGGGCUGACUCUUGCCUACAAGUCAGAUUUCAGAAGACCCAAUCUGAAUGAAAUAGCUUCUAUCCUAAUCAGUGUCUGGAGAUCAUCCAGUUGUUCCUUUCAGAGCAUUUAUCACUCUCAGAAAGGAUCAUGUUUCUGUGUUGUUUGUUUUGUUGUUUAUGACCUAUCUCUCCUACCAGGCUGGAAGCUUCAGGAAAGCCAGGACCAGUUCAGCCUUGAUCCCAGCUCUGUCUUCAAGCACCUAGAACAGGGCCUGGCGUCAACUGACUAGGUGAUCAGUAAAUAUUUACCCCUGUUGCUCUCAUUAAAAACAUGCAGAAACAAUUCUCAUGACCCAGUGCACAGAAGUUUGGAAUUCAAAAUUGUAAAUAUUUUUAAUUGAAAAAUAACAUGUACAUAGUCAAAAAUUCAAAUAGUAUAAGAGAGAGUCUCUUUGCUUCACAUGUUUCUAUUGGCUAGCAUAGGACAGACUGUUCAGUGGUCUCUUGGUUUGGUGUGUGUAUGUGUGUUCAGCCUGCCAGGCUCCUCUGUCUAUGGGAUUUCCCAGGCAAGAAUGCUGGAGUGGGUUGCCAUUUCCUCCUCCAGGUCUCUUGAUUAUUUUUUACUUAAUACAACUGUUUCUUAAGAGCUCUCGCGAUUCUGAGUGUUGGCUGAGCUCUGGUGAUUCUUGCUUUGAGUCUCUUACAUAGUUGUAGUCACAACCACUGGGGUCAUAUGAAGACUCAGCGGGGCUGGUUGCUGAUAAUGGCUCACUUAUUUAACCAGCAGGAGAUGCUGGCUAUUGACUGGAAGGUGAAUCCUAGCCGAAAACCUAAAAUGAAAGCCCUGCAUGUGGCCCCUCACACAGCUCAGGUUUCUCCAAACACGGUGGCUAGGCUCUGAAAGGAUACAUCCCAAAACAAACAUUCCAGCAGACAGCAAGAAUGCUGCUAGUCUAUUAAGGUUCGAGACUGGACACUAGCACAGCCUUACUUCCUCUGUGUUUUGUUGGCCAGAGCAGUCCUAGUCGAGCCCAGAUUCCGGGACAAAGACCCCAGCUUUCAGAAUAAGCCUUCAGAUCUCAGUGGUUUAAAACAAACAUUUGUCUCCCUCAUAUUCCAGUGCCGGGUAGACCAUGUUGGUGUACUAUUCUCCUUCAGCAGUGACUCAGAUCCAAGCUGCUUCCACCAGCAUCUCCAUCAUCACAAAGUACUUUGAUCCCAACUGUUCAGAUGGGAAAAAGGUUGUGGUGGGGGGAGAAGGGGGUGGACAUUCACACUGAUAAUUAAUUGCCUUAGACCUGAAGUGACACACUCUUUGCCCACAUCCUCACUGGUGAGAUCACAUCUCCUAGGAAGGUUAGGAAACACAGUGUUCCCCUGCUCCCUGGAAGAGAAAAAUGGGCGUGAACACAUCAUUUUAUGGAUGUGUUCCCAGUCUCCUUCUCUAGAAGCAUCACCAUUAACAAUUAACACCAUUAACAAUUUAGUGUGUACCCAUCCUUUCAGAAAUAUUUAUAUAUGUCAAAGUGGAAGUAAAAGUCACUCAGCCAUGUCUGAUUCUUUGUGACCUCAUGGUAUAUACAAGAAUAUAAAAACACAAAUGUAGCAUUUGCACAC
Molecule: long non-coding RNA, 2941 nt
Organism: Bos taurus (domestic cattle)
Lineage: Eukaryota; Metazoa; Chordata; Mammalia; Artiodactyla; Bovidae
Source: Ensembl